AUUAUUGUUUGUUCCAGGAUCUUAUGACGAAACAGAUUAUUGGUAGAGGAUAUAAGUCUGGUGAUCUCUACAUCCUGGAUAAACAUGUACCGCGGUCUCUUACUUGCUCCAGCGCCUUAACUCCUCUCGAAAUUCAUUGUCGUUUGGGCCAUCCCUUCUUGGUUGCCUUGAAGAAGUUGUAUCCUCAAUUUCAGUUUUCGUCAAUCUUAGAGUGUGAGUCAUGUCAGUUUACUAAGCACCAUCGUUUACCUUCUACACCAAGAGUCAAUAAACAGGCUUCGUCCCCUUUUGAGUUAGUUUAUUCUAAUAUUUGGGGUCCUUAUUCUAUUACUUCUAAAACUGAUUUCAAGUAUUUUGUUACAUUUGU
This 367-nucleotide unclassified non-coding RNA is filed under the name Hevea brasiliensis (rubber tree). Lineage: Eukaryota; Viridiplantae; Streptophyta; Magnoliopsida; Malpighiales; Euphorbiaceae. The record is from RNAcentral.